UUGAAAUUACAAAAAGCCCUUCUCCAGCUCAACUCACGUUCCGCGUUCAACCAAGCUACCAAAGCCACCUGGGAAACUGGUUUCCCCGCCGACCCCCUGCCACUGGGGGCCCAACUGCCCACACGCGGGCCACCCCGGCUCGCCCACCGCCUCCUGGCGGUCUGUGAAGCCUCUGUGCAGCGGCGAGGACUUUGGAUCUGGAUGGCCGGCAACUGCGGCUGCGAACGCCUCCUCGGGCUCCGGCUGCUCCCCCUGUGGCAGGAGAGAACGCGCCAAGCGUUUCCCGAGCUGUUCCCUGACAGAGAGAGGAUGGCAGCACCCCCAGCUCUUCUCCUCCUCCAGCAGCCACCUACCCACAAGUCUCACCUAGAAGGAGGAAGCUGCACGUGCUGUGUGGGAUAACAAUGGAGAGAAACUGAGCUGUGUGGAACCCAUUUUGGUGAAAACUUUGUUGUGCAUUGAACUGCACUACUGAAUUAUAUGGAAGACUACAGUUCCAUCUUAGAUGAUGAAGACAAGGGUCACACCCUAAGGAAUGUAGAGCUGGAUACAGCCUAGGAUCCUAAGAACUUCAGCCAACUGAGCCAACACAACUCUGGACUGCUUCCUCCAGACUUGCAAAUGAAAGAGAAAAUAAAUUCUCUCUUGAUUAAGCCAAUGCUAUUUGGAGGGUAUUUGCUAUUCUCAAUUGAACCUAAUCUUAUCUGUUAUAUUUAUUUUGCUCACCAGCUCUUAAUAUAAUACCUAGUACAUGUUAGGUUUCCAAUAUUUUUUUCAUGAAUGAAUGAAUGAAUAUAUGAAUCCCCCCACCUACAUCCAAAACCACAUACAUAAAAUUGACCAUAUGCCCCAGUAACUUCUGAUUAGUCUUUAGAUGACCCAGAUUUUCUCAUUGCCUACCUUGUUGUUUCCUGAGAGACAGGCAAACCCUCUCAGAAGCUACUUUAACUCAUUCUUUUUAACUAGACUAUUAACUUUUUUGAUAUUUUAUUUGAACUGUAAUAAUAAAAAAUUAGUUGCCCUUCCUUACUGUCUUUAUAGACUACAUGUUGUUGAUAUGUUUUCAUAUUAUUACAAACAGAAAACAGAAUUGACAGAAAACUUAAUAAAUACCUUUGCCAACUGUGCACUGAGGGACAUAUGUUGUGGUUAUGUUCUUUUUACCCAGAUUUCAGGGACAGAAACAGAACAGAAACAAUGCCAAUAUUAUAAAAAUUUUCCCAAACACAUACUCUUCAGGAAAACACUACUACUAAUAAUUAUUAGGGAUAAGAACAUUGUCAAGAAGAUGUCUAGCAUAUAGUUUGUUCUGCAUAUAAUGAAGUCUAAGAAGUAAACACAUUAAAAACAUUUUUAAAAUGUUUCCAGAUUAUUUCAGUACAUUCAUGGCAAUGCCUUUUUAUUAAACAUUUUAAGAUGUAGCAAAGUACAUUAGACUCAAAAACCUAAGCUUUAAUAUCUUGAAAUAGCUUGAACUGCUCAGAUAUAAAUGUUUUAAAAUAGAGAUGGCAUUUUUCUAGAGAGGAAAAGAAGAAAAGGUAAUUUAGAUUAGCAAUAAUUUACAUGCUGUUCUCAUCUCUGGGCAGCUUGCUGUGUUUUGUCCUCUAAUGUCCAUCACUUAUUUUCAUAAUGAUUACUCAAAAAUAAACCUGAGUGGCAUUUUUUUCUCUUCUUUUUAUAUGAGAAUUGUCCUCUAUGAAAUUAUGCUUAAUUUAGGGAUGGAGAUGAUUUGUUUUACAAACAGUUUAAUAAAAGGAAAGAAAGAGAAAGGACCCAUACUAAAACAAGAUUCUAAUUAUCUAUGAGUUAAUAUUUAGAAGUGCAAAAUGAUUUUUCAAAGUCUUUCUUUUUUUCUGCUCAGGACCCUCCUAGAAACUAUAUUGGGUAAUUCUCUUUUCAGACCUGAAGAAUUUGUCAUCAGAAAGAACUUUCUCUUUUCCAGUCCUUCACACAUCAAGGUUAAUGGUGUAGAUUUCCACGAGUAAGUGCAAACAGUGCAAUUAUGAGCAGAAUUAGGAGGAAUAGGCUGAAGGACACCCCUGAUGGAGAUGGGUGAGAGGAAAGGAAUCAGCGUUUCAUGGAAUGAAGGAUCUUCAUCAAGCAAUUAGAAUGCAUUUCAAAAUUGUUCCAAGAUAUUUAUGUGCCCAAAUUGUAACCUCAUGUGUAGUAUUCAGGAAAAAAACUCACAGAAUUAGAAUUAUUAUGACCUGAAACGACCUCAUUUUUGUAUUUUUAUUUAUGGAUGAAGAAGUAAAGGCAGAACCAGCUAUGUAAUUUGCAGGAGGCGGUGCACUAUGAAAAUGUUGGGCCCCUUGCUCAAAAAUCAUUAUGAAUUUCAAGAUGAUGACAGCAGAGCAUUAAAUCAGUUACAGGGUACCUCUGUACACAGGGCCUAUGUGACCACACAGGUUGCACUUCCAUGAAGCCAGUUCAAAGAGGAGAGACUGGUUAAAUUAUUUGCCCAAGGUGUAAAAGUGAUUAGGUGCAAAGCUAACCUCCUGAUUCAUUGUUUACUUAUUUUCUUUUUUCUCCUUCAUCUCUGCAUUCUAUUAUUUCUCCAUAUUCACUUCAAACUUAGCUUAGAAGAGUACAUAUUUAUUCAUUCAUUCUUUAAUUAAUGUUUCUUGAAUAAUGACUUUGUGGCAUGCAGUGUGUUAGGAAUUGACACAUAAGACACAUUCCUUAAGUACUAUUUAAAUCCUGGGUGCAGAGAAAAAACUAUGGGGGGAAAAACACUACUUCUAUAGAGAUUGAGGAGAAGGUAGAACUCUGACAUACUACCACUGUGAGUUAAAUACGUAUUAAUUUUCUGGAAGACAAUGUGGUGUAUAAGACAAACAUCUUAAAAUGAGUGAUACUUUGACCAGAAACAAGACUUCUUGGAAUUUAUCAUAAGGGAAUAAUAAGAAGUGUGGGCAAAGUCAUAUGUAGAGUUAUUCUUCACAGUGAUUUUUUUUUCUCAUAAAUAUCCAAGAAUGUGGGUUUUGUUAGGCACUCUUUAGUUUACCUAUGCUGUUACGUAUAUGUAAUCAUUAAAAAUGUGGUUUUAUCA
Molecule: long non-coding RNA, 3052 nt
Organism: Sciurus carolinensis (gray squirrel)
Lineage: Eukaryota; Metazoa; Chordata; Mammalia; Rodentia; Sciuridae
Exons: 3
Source: RefSeq, a predicted model, not a curated record